This is a long non-coding RNA of Paramacrobiotus metropolitanus, 1787 nucleotides long. RefSeq lists it as uncharacterized. The transcript has 3 exons. NCBI's taxonomy places the organism in Eukaryota, Metazoa, Tardigrada, Eutardigrada, Parachela, Macrobiotidae. The record is from RefSeq and is a predicted model, not a curated record.
UGUUCGACCAGACUUGAACUCCCCUUGGGGUUGUCUGCUCUUGUGCCGUAAUAAUAAUAAUAAUAACAAUAAUUCUACUCCUCUAAUGCUACUUCACAAGUCCGCUAGUUGCAGAGCAUAUUGUUCGUCAUCAAGAAGCAAAAGGUCGACGAGGACGAUGUCAACGUCAGCGCUAGAGGUAAGUACAGCGCAUGCAGACGAAGCCGUGUCAAGCAAAUUUCAAAGCUAAGAAAAUUAAUCAUUGUCGUCGAUGGAAUUAGUGUUCAGCGGGUACGCAGUUAUGAUUUGCUCAUGUGCACCGAGUGUACAUUGUCAUUAUCUGGAAAACAUAAUUAUAUUCACAGCGGAAGUGAAGUGGAAUAAAUGCCGUAAUGCCGGAUAUAUGGAUACAUCAUACAUGUACAGCAAGUACAGAUGUGCGCGCAGUCUAUCUGGCCAUGUAUCCGCUGCAGGAUGCAGGGAUGCAGGAGAUAUCUAUUCCUGCGAAUUGAAUUAGGAGGAUCUGCAUGGAAUUUAAUAGGGACAGGGGCGGUGCCUCACUGCCUGCGCUCCUGCAGUGCGUAGCUGAGCGGCAGACGGAUGUCGUUGGCGCGUUCGGCCAACACGUACACAACGGCUGCGUGCCGGGAUGCAUGUGCAUAACGUGUGCAGAUGGAUGUACGGUAUAGUGCAACCGGAAACGCCAGAUCGCCUGUCCUGCAUCAUCAGUCUAUUCCUGCCUAUACAUGCGACGGCUCUCGGCCAAAUUUAGCACAACCUGUCCCAUUCAGCUGCACAUGUCAGGGCCCCGCUCUUCUCCACGCAGCCGGAUAAAUAGCUAAUUAAUUUGACUGUCUGAUAAUAGGUACAGAGUACAGACUGCACAGCCAACCAGGACGCCGAAGAUCCGCUACGUUACCCAUCAACACAUUUCCAAUAUGUACAUGCGUACUAAUAUUAAGUAUUAUUAUUUUUGUAUACAUGUAAUAAUUAAAGGCAUGAGAUUAGUUUUCCUACUAUGCUAAAGAUGCUGAUAUGGAGAAGCUGUCUGCUUUGUGCCGGAAUUUAAGCAUCACUGCAGCAUGCAAGCGGUUCUCUCUGGACUAGAGACCGGAAGUAAAUUAGCCGGCAUUAUGGCCACUUCCAACGGUGCUGCUUAUUGUGGCCAUAUCACUUUACCGGGCUAAGAAACCUGGCUAACCAACGUCGCCCCAGUUCUCCCAGCGAUCGCGAAGAAAGAGUACACGCUCCACAUUCCCGUCGACCGGAAACCGCGGAACACUUUCCCUCCAGGAGCAAAUGGCUGUCUAAUGGCUGCUCAACGUAACCCAACCGGCGGGCCUUCACUUUCCAUGCACUGACCAGCAUUAGCCAAUUUAGCCCAGCAGCGACAACCCUAAUAUUCCCUGACGUUUGGCUGUGUCGCUUCGCGGUUUCGCACGUCAACAUCUUAUUGCCGACGCCCGUACAAAGUACUCUAUAGUCAAACGGCCAAACGCCAGAAUUCAACAUGCGUGUAAUCCGCAGCCGUCGCGCUACGACGACGAAUAUGCCGUGCGCCGUACGAGAAGCCAGCCAGCGAAGAGGGAUAAACAGCGGAAAUGCUCUUGAAGCCAACUUCCGGCUUAUUCCAUUCUUAUCCGAUUAAAAUAGCCAGCUUAUUUAUGCAUUUAUACAUUUAGACAUUUACAACGACAGUCAACUGCUAUGAGUGCAGUUGCAAUAUACGAGUACCUGCAUAUAAUAUACACGAUGUUAACACAGCACGUUGCAGCGAGGGAAAGAUCGGCUCGGCAACAGUGCAGCUG